Molecule: transfer RNA, 72 nt
Filed under: Salvia splendens (bonfire salvia)
Lineage: Eukaryota; Viridiplantae; Streptophyta; Magnoliopsida; Lamiales; Lamiaceae
Rfam family: tRNA
About the family: Transfer RNA (tRNA) molecules are approximately 80 nucleotides in length. Their secondary structure includes four short double-helical elements and three loops (D, anti-codon, and T loops).
Source: Rfam by way of RNAcentral
GGGGGUGUAGCUCAUAUGGUAGAGCGCUUGCUUCGCAUGCGAGAGGCACGGGGUUUGAUUCCCGCACCUCCA